GACGAACGCUGGCGGCGUGCUUAACACAUGCAAGUCGAACGGAAAGGCCCUGCUUUUGUGGGGUGCUCGAGUGGCGAACGGGUGAGUAACACGUGAGUAACCUGCCCUUGACUUUGGGAUAACUUCAGGAAACUGGGGCUAAUACCGGAUAGGAGCUCCUGCUGUAUGGAGGGGGUUGGAAAGUUUCGGCGGUUGGGUAUGGACUCGCGGCUUAUCAGCUUGUUUGUGGGGUAGUGGCUUACCAAGGCUUUGACGGGUAGCCGGCCUGAGAGGGUGGCCGGCCACAUUGGGCCUGAGAUACGGCCCAGACUCCUACGGGCGGCAGCAGUGGGGAAUAUUGCACGAUGGGCGGAAGCCAGAUGCAGCAACGCCGCGUGCGGGAAGACGGCCUUCGGGUGGUGAACCGCUUUCGCCUGUGACGAAGCGUGAGUGACGGUAAUGGGUAAAGAAGCACCGGCUAACUACGUG
RNAcentral lists this ribosomal RNA (468 nucleotides) under uncultured bacterium. Its description in RNAcentral is "partial 16S ribosomal RNA". It matches the Rfam family "Bacterial small subunit ribosomal RNA", at positions 28 to 507 of the family's 1533-position model. The record is from RNAcentral.